This 374-nucleotide ribosomal RNA is filed under the name uncultured eukaryote. Its description in RNAcentral is "partial 18S ribosomal RNA". It matches the Rfam family "Eukaryotic small subunit ribosomal RNA", at positions 592 to 976 of the family's 1831-position model. The record is from RNAcentral.
CAAUAGCGUAUAUUUAAGUUGUUGCAGUUAAAAAGCUCGUAGUUGGAUUUCUGCUGAUCGCUGUCGGUCUGCCGUCAGGUGUGUACUGGCAGUGUUUGGCAUCUAUUCGAGAUUGGGUGUCCACUUGAUUGUGUGCACUCGAUGUCGGAGCUAAUACUUUGAGAAAAUUAGAGUGUUCCACGCAGGCGCGUGCCUUGAAUACUGCAGCAUGGGAUAUUGGAGGGCCGAUUGAGCUUUCUUGUUGGUUCUCGGUUUGAUCGGAAUGAUUAAUAGGGAUAGUUGGGGGCAUUCGUAUUCAACUGUCAGAGGUGAAAUUCUUGGAUUUGUUGAAGACGGACUACUGCGAAAGCAUCUGCCAUGGAUGUUCUCAUUGA